This 253-nucleotide ribosomal RNA is filed under the name uncultured bacterium. RNAcentral's name for it is "partial 16S ribosomal RNA". It matches the Rfam family "Bacterial small subunit ribosomal RNA", at positions 524 to 776 of the family's 1533-position model. The record is from RNAcentral.
UACGGGGGGGGCAAGCGUUGUUCGGAAUUACUGGGCGUAAAGGGCUCGUAGGCGGCCAACUAAGUCAGACGUGAAAUCCCCAGGCUCAACCUGGGAACUGCGUCUGAUACUGGAUGUCUUGAAUCCGGGAGAGGGAUGCAGAAUUCCAGGUGUAGCGGUGAAAUGCGUAGAUAUCUGGAGGAACACCGAUGGCGAAGGCAGCCUUCUGGGCCAACACUGACGCUCAUGCACGAAAGCGUGGGGAGCAAACAGG